GUUGAACGCUGGCGGCGUGCCUAAUACAUGCAAGUCGAGCGAACGGACGAGAAGCUCUCUUUUCUGAUGUUAGCGGCGGACGGGUGAGUAACACGUGGAUAACCUACCUAUAAGACUGGGAUAACUUCGGGAAACCGGAGCUAAUACCGGAUAAUAUUUUGAACCGCAUGGUUCAAAAGUGAAAGACGGUCUUGCUGUCACUUAUAGAUGGAUCCUCGCUGCAUUAGCUAGUUGGUAAGGUAACGGCUUACCAAGGCAACGAUGCAUAGCCGACCUGAGAGGGUGAUCGGCCACACUGGAACUGAGACACGGUCCAGACUCCUACGGGAGGCAGCAGUAGGGAAUCUUCCGCAAUGGGCGAAAGCCUGACGGAGCAACGCCGCGUGAGUGAUGAAGGUCUUCGGAUCGUAAAACUCUGUUAGUAGGGAAGAACAUAUGUGUAAGUAACUGUGCAUAUCUUGACGGUACCUACUCAGAAAGCAACGGCUAACUACGUG
RNAcentral lists this ribosomal RNA (497 nucleotides) under uncultured bacterium. RNAcentral's name for it is "partial 16S ribosomal RNA". It matches the Rfam family "Bacterial small subunit ribosomal RNA", at positions 28 to 507 of the family's 1533-position model. The record is from RNAcentral.